Molecule: ribosomal RNA, 252 nt
Filed under: uncultured bacterium
Lineage: Bacteria
Description: partial 16S ribosomal RNA
Rfam family: Bacterial small subunit ribosomal RNA
Source: RNAcentral
UACGGAGGAUGCGAGCGUUAUCCGGAUUUAUUGGGUUUAAAGGGUGCGUAGGCGGUUUAUUAAGUCUGGUGUAAAAGGCAGUGGCUCAACCAUUGUAUGCAUUGGAAACUGGUAGACUUGAGUGCAGGAGAGGAGAGUGGAAUUCCAUGUGUAGCGGUGAAAUGCGUAGAUAUAUGGAGGAACACCGGUGGCGAAAGCGGCUCUCUGGCCUGUAACUGACACUGAGGCUCGAAAGCGUAGGGAGCAAACAGG